This is a long non-coding RNA of Anoplopoma fimbria (sablefish), 518 nucleotides long. RefSeq lists it as uncharacterized. The transcript has 3 exons. The record is from RefSeq and is a predicted model, not a curated record. Lineage: Eukaryota; Metazoa; Chordata; Actinopteri; Perciformes; Anoplopomatidae.
GUCCUGACGCUCCGAUGGCGAUCUUGUUUCUCUCAGACUCGGGCAUGGACGGGUCUGAGGACAGACAGGUAGACAGGUUAGCAGAGAGACAGGUAGACAGGUUAAGAGACAGGUAGACAGGUUAAGAGACAGGUAGACAGGUUAAGAGACAGGAAGAUAGGUGAGCAGAGAGACAGGUUAAGAGACAGGAAGACAGGUUAAGAGACAGACAGGUAGACAGGUUAGCAGAGAGACAGGUUAAGAGACAGGUAGACAGGUUAAGAGACAGACAGGUAGACAGGUUAGCAGAGAGACAGGUUAAGAGACAGGAAGACAGGUUAAGAGACAGGUAGACAGGUUAAGAGAGAGACAGGUAGACAGACAGACAGGUAGACAGGUUAGCAGAGAGACAGGUAGACAGGUUAGCAGAGAGACAGGUAGACAGGUUAAGAGACAGGUAGACAGGUGAGCAGAGAGACAGGUGAAGAGACAGGAAGACAGGUUAAGAGACAGGUAGACAGGUUAAGAGACAGGUAGAC